UGUUGCAGCCAUAUCACCCUGCAGCCCAAGAUCGGUGACUCAUUGAAGCUAAGCAGGGCUGAUACUGGUCAGUACCUGGAUGGGAGACCACAUGGGAAAACUAGGUUGCUGUUGGCA
RNAcentral lists this ribosomal RNA (117 nucleotides) under Danio rerio (zebrafish). Lineage: Eukaryota; Metazoa; Chordata; Actinopteri; Cypriniformes; Danionidae. The record is from RNAcentral.